RNAcentral lists this ribosomal RNA (497 nucleotides) under uncultured bacterium. RNAcentral describes it as "partial 16S ribosomal RNA". It matches the Rfam family "Bacterial small subunit ribosomal RNA", at positions 28 to 507 of the family's 1533-position model. The record is from RNAcentral.
GAUGAACGCUGGCGGCGUGCCUAAUACAUGCAAGUCGAGCGAACGGACGAGAAGCUUGCUUCUCUGAUGUUAGCGGCGGACGGGUGAGUAACACGUGGAUAACCUACCUAUAAGACUGGGAUAACUUCGGGAAACCGGAGCUAAUACCGGAUAAUAUUUUGAACCGCAUGGUUCAAAAGUAAAAGAGGGUCUUGCUGUCACUUAUAGAUGGAUCCGCGCUGCAUUAGCUAGUUGGUAAGGUAACGGCUUACCAAGGCAACGAUGCAUAGCCGACCUGAGAGGGUGAUCGGCCACACUGGAACUGAGACACGGUCCAGACUCCUACGGGAGGCAGCAGUAGGGAAUCUUCCGCAAUGGGCGAAAGCCUGACGGAGCAACGCCGCGUGAGUGAUGAAGGUCUUCGGAUCGUAAAACUCUGUUAUUAGGGAAGAACAUAUGUGUAAGUAACUGUGCACAUCUUGACGGUACCUAAUCAGAAAGCCACGGCUAACUACGUG